This 542-nucleotide ribosomal RNA is filed under the name uncultured bacterium. Its description in RNAcentral is "bacterial SSU rRNA". It matches the Rfam family "Bacterial small subunit ribosomal RNA", at positions 777 to 1318 of the family's 1533-position model. The record is from RNAcentral.
AAUAGAUACCAGGUAGUCCACGCCGUAAACGAUGAGUGCUAAGUGUUAGGGGGUUUCCGCCCCUUAGUGCUGCAGCUAACGCAUUAAGCACUCCGCCUGGGGAGUACGGUCGCAAGACUGAAACUCAAAGGAAUUGACGGGGGCCCGCACAAGCGGUGGAGCAUGUGGUUUAAUUCGAAGCAACGCGAAGAACCUUACCAGGUCUUGACAUCCCGCUGACCGGUCUAGAGAUAGACUUUUCCCUUCGGGGACAGCGGUGACAGGUGGUGCAUGGUUGUCGUCAGCUCGUGUCGUGAGAUGUUGGGUUAAGUCCCGCAACGAGCGCAACCCUUGAUCUUAGUUGCCAGCAUUUAGUUGGGCACUCUAAGGUGACUGCCGGUGAUAAACCGGAGGAAGGUGGGGAUGACGUCAAAUCAUCAUGCCCCUUAUGACCUGGGCUACACACGUGCUACAAUGGACGGUACAGAGGGUCGCAACCCCGCGAGGGUGAGCUAAUCCCAUAAAACCGUUCUCAGUUCGGAUUGUAGGCUGCAACUCGCCUA